Long non-coding RNA from Myripristis murdjan (pinecone soldierfish), 659 nucleotides. RefSeq lists it as uncharacterized. The record is from RefSeq and is a predicted model, not a curated record. Lineage: Eukaryota; Metazoa; Chordata; Actinopteri; Holocentriformes; Holocentridae. The transcript is spliced from 3 exons.
AAAGAUGGAAAAGCGGGAGAACAGAAAUAAAAGGAGGGCAGAAGAUGGAAAGAUGUCAUCAGAGAAGGAGAGAAGAAGAAGACGAAGCGACCAUGGAUGGUUGAAAGUUAAUAUUUGGCCUGGACUUUGACCAAGAGAGAAGAGGUGAACAUGCAGAGGAGGGAUGUUGGAGGAUCAGUCCAACAGCAACAGGAAGCUUCACAAGCAAGACAGGUGGGACAAGCAAGACAGACUGGGAAACAUCAGGAGACAUGACAGGACACACACACACACACACACACACACACAUACAGGAGUUCAAUAAGACUGCCCCGCCCUUUUCUAAAUACUUAAAAUAUUUUACUCUUCCUAUUAUCUACUGUUUUAUGUAGUUGCAUUCUAGAGUUAUGUUUUAUGCAUGUUGUGUGUAUGUUUGCAUGUAUAUAUGCGUUAUUCUUAUUAUUAGUAGUAGUAUUGGUAUUUGUAUCAGUAUUAUUAGUCUUAUUAUCAGUAGAACUAGUAGUAGGGAUAGAAGUAUUGGUGAAAAUACUGAGUACUACUAUUGCUACUACUACUAAAUUGUUUGCAUUGUAUUGGUUUGGUUUGAUUUUAAUUUAUUAGCUUUACUACUAAGACUUUGUAUCGUGCAGAUUUAUUAGUAUUAAAAACUAUUAACAAGA